RNAcentral lists this ribosomal RNA (203 nucleotides) under uncultured Streptococcus sp. RNAcentral describes it as "partial 16S ribosomal RNA". It matches the Rfam family "Bacterial small subunit ribosomal RNA", at positions 1180 to 1382 of the family's 1533-position model. The record is from RNAcentral. Lineage: Bacteria; Bacillati; Bacillota; Bacilli; Lactobacillales; Streptococcaceae.
UGACGUCAAAUCAUCAUGCCCCUUAUGACCUGGGCUACACACGUGCUACAAUGGUUGGUACAACGAGUUGCGAGUCGGUGACGGCGAGCUAAUCUCUUAAAGCCAAUCUCAGUUCGGAUUGGAGUCUGCAACUCGACUCCAUGAAGUUGGAAUCGCUAGUAAUCGCGGAUCAGCAUGCCGCGGUGAAUACGUUCCCGGGCCUU